AGAGUUUGAUCAUGGCUCAGAGCGAACGUUAGCGGCAGGCUUAACACAUGCAAGUCGAGCGAGAAAGGGACUUCGGUCCUGAGUAAAGCGGCGGACGGGUGCGUAACACGUGGAUAAUCUGCCCUUUAGUGGGGAACAACAGUCCGAAAGGAUUGCUAAUGCCGCAUGUCACGGCAGAAACUCCGGUUUCAGUCGGAAAA
Molecule: ribosomal RNA, 200 nt
Filed under: uncultured bacterium
Lineage: Bacteria
Description: partial 16S ribosomal RNA
Rfam family: Bacterial small subunit ribosomal RNA
Source: RNAcentral